UAGGUGGGAGGCUUUGAAGUGUGGACGCCAGUCUGCAUGGAGCCGACCUUGAAAUACCACCCUUUAAUGUUUGAUGUUCUAACGUUGACCCGUAAUCCGGGUUGCGGACAGUGUCUGGUGGGUAGUUUGACUGGGGCGGUCUCCUCCUAAAGAGUAACGGAGGAGCACGAAGGUUGGCUAAUCCUGGUCGGACAUCAGGAGGUUAGUGCAAUGGCAUAAGCCAGCUUGACUGCGAGCGUGACGGCGCGAGCAGGUGCGAAAGCAGGUCAUAGUGAUCCGGUGGUUCUGAAUGGAAGGGCCAUCGCUCAACGGAUAAAAGGUACUCCGGGGAUAACAGGCUGAUACCGCCCAAGAGUUCAUAUCGACGGCGGUGUUUGGCACCUCGAUGUCGGCUCAUCACAUCCUGGGGCUGAAGUAGGUCCCAAGGGUAUGGCUGUUCGCCAUUUAAAGUGGUACGCGAGCUGGGUUUAGAACGUCGUGAGACAGUUCGGUCCCUAUCUGCCGUGGGCGCUGGAGAACUGAGGGGGGCUGCUCCUAGUACGAGAGGACCGGAGUGGACGCAUCACUGGUGUUCGGGUUGUCAUGCCAAUGGCACUGCCCGGUAGCUAAAUGCGGAAGAGAUAAGUGCUGAAAGCAUCU
This 639-nucleotide ribosomal RNA is filed under the name Escherichia coli. RNAcentral describes it as "partial 23S ribosomal RNA". It matches the Rfam family "Bacterial large subunit ribosomal RNA", at positions 2144 to 2782 of the family's 2925-position model. The record is from RNAcentral. Lineage: Bacteria; Pseudomonadati; Pseudomonadota; Gammaproteobacteria; Enterobacterales; Enterobacteriaceae.